This 410-nucleotide ribosomal RNA is filed under the name uncultured bacterium. Its description in RNAcentral is "bacterial SSU rRNA". It matches the Rfam family "Bacterial small subunit ribosomal RNA", at positions 32 to 434 of the family's 1533-position model. The record is from RNAcentral.
AAUCAACGCUGGCGGCGUGCCUCAGACAUGCAAGUCGAACGAUUAAAGCUCUCUUCGGAGAGUGUAUAGAGUGGCGCACGGGUGAGUAACACGUAAGUAAUCUACCUUCGAGUGGGGAAUAACGUUCGGAAACGGACGCUAAUACCGCAUAAUGCAGCGGCACCGCAAGAUGACAGUUGUUAAAGAUUUAUCGCUUGAAGAGGAGCUUGCGGCAGAUUAGCUAGUUGGUAGGGUAAUGGCUUACCAAGGCUACGAUCUGUAUCCGGUCUAAGAGGACGGUCGGACACACUGACACUGAAUAACGGGUCAGACUCCUACGGGAGGCAGCAGUCGGGAAUUUUGGGCAAUGGGCGAAAGCCUGACCCAGCAACGCCGCGUGAAGGAUGAAGUAUUUCGGUAUGUAAACUUCG